This 484-nucleotide ribosomal RNA is filed under the name uncultured bacterium. RNAcentral's name for it is "partial 16S ribosomal RNA". It matches the Rfam family "Bacterial small subunit ribosomal RNA", at positions 30 to 507 of the family's 1533-position model. The record is from RNAcentral.
AGUGAACGCUGGCGGCAGGCCUAACACAUGCAAGUCGAGCGGCAGCGCGGGGGCAACCCUGGCGGCGAGCGGCGGACGGGUGAGGAAUUCGUCGGAAUCUGCCUCUUUGUGGGGGAUAACGUAGGGAAACUUACGCUAAUACCGCAUACGUCCUCCGGGAGAAAGUGGGGGACCGCAAGGCCUCACGCAGAAAGAUGAGCCGACGACCGAUUAGCUAGUUGGUGGGGUAAAGGCCCACCAAGGCGACGAUCGGUAGCUGGUCUGAGAGGAUGAUCAGCCACACUGGGACUGAGACACGGCCCAGACUCCUACGGGAGGCAGCAGUGGGGAAUAUUGGAAAAUGUGCGGAAGCCUGCUCCAGCCAUGCCGCGUGGGUGAAGAAGGCCUUCGGGUUGGAAAGCACUUUUGUCGGGAAAGAAAUCCCUGGGGCUAAUACCUUCGGGGGAUGACGGUACCGGAAGAAUAAGCACCGGCUAACUUCGUG